This 422-nucleotide long non-coding RNA is filed under the name Musa acuminata (dwarf banana). Its description in RNAcentral is "long non-coding RNA (MACU_LNC008262)". Lineage: Eukaryota; Viridiplantae; Streptophyta; Magnoliopsida; Zingiberales; Musaceae. The record is from RNAcentral.
GGUUGUCUCCUGAGCCCGUCAAAAGGAGUGAAUCUGUAAGAGGGUAGUUGGCCUUCGCCUAUUGAAGGAAGGCUCCUAGUUGACGUCGGCGACCUCGUCGGUGGAGGAAGCCAAAAGUGGAGUAGGUCAAGGCUGACCGAACCACUCUAAAUCUCUGGUUUGCAUUUAUUUUUGAGCACUUUAUCAUUACUGCAAACCUCCUUCAUUACUACUGCUCUCUGCGCUUUCACGAACAAGUUCUAAGUGCUGUUCUUCCGAAUCUGCAUUCAGACGUAAAUUCAUAUUUUCGUACAUUACAGUUUACGUUUACGUUUGAUUCUGCAGAACUGUCUUCCGUGCUUUUACGAACGAGUUCUGUGCAGUUUACGUUCACAUCUUAAUUCCAUUUACAAACUGCAAACUGCUCUCUGCGCUUUUACGAA